This 120-nucleotide small nucleolar RNA is filed under the name Gossypium hirsutum (cotton). Its description in RNAcentral is "Plant small nucleolar RNA R71". It matches the Rfam family "Plant small nucleolar RNA R71". Rfam says of the family: R71 is a member of the C/D box family of snoRNAs containing the C (UGAUGA) and D (CUGA) box motifs. The record is from Rfam by way of RNAcentral. Lineage: Eukaryota; Viridiplantae; Streptophyta; Magnoliopsida; Malvales; Malvaceae.
AUGUCGUGAUGAGGGCACUUUCGUAAUAACUCCUUGAACCGCUCCCUUGAACCGCUCUCAUGCCUCAUAUAAAGAUUCUUCAUCAAGUUGCUGAAAUGAUGUGAUUUCAUUUCAGAUCUU